Molecule: long non-coding RNA, 273 nt
Organism: Brienomyrus brachyistius
Lineage: Eukaryota; Metazoa; Chordata; Actinopteri; Osteoglossiformes; Mormyridae
Exons: 3
Source: RefSeq, a predicted model, not a curated record
GACAGUACGGUGUUAGAUCAGUGGGUAUCGCUUGAGGCAGGUUAUCCAUGACAGUAUGGUGUUAGAUCAGUGGGUAUCGCUUGAGGCAGGUUAUCCAUGACAGUAUGGUAUUAGAUGAGUGGGUAUCGCUUGAGGGAGGUUAUCCAUGACAGUAUGGUAUUAGAUGAGUGGGUAUCGCUUGAGGCAGGUUAUCCAUUACAGUAUGGUAUUAGAUGAGUGGGUAUCGCUUGAGGGAGGAUAUCCAUGACAGUAUGGUGUUAGAUCAGUGGGUAU